AUAUAUCCAUCAUUUAAGUCCAUCAUUUCUUAAACAUCUUGAAAUAACUAAUGCUAAUUAAUAAUAAACUUUUGGCUGGCAAAAAAAACAAAUUUGUCUAAUUAUCGCUUAAAUAUUUUAUUAAUAUUGUCUAAGAAGCUUUCAAUUGAUAUCAUAGUUUAAUUUUUAUUAGUUUUUUUUGUUAAUUCUAGAUUUUUUUUGUAUUUAAGAUUUUUUUCAUAUUAAGCUUAUAUUUCUUUCACAUAAUAUAUAUAUGUCAUAAAAAUUACCAUCAAAUAAGU
This 281-nucleotide long non-coding RNA is filed under the name Brassica rapa (field mustard). Its description in RNAcentral is "long non-coding RNA (BRAP_LNC007763)". Lineage: Eukaryota; Viridiplantae; Streptophyta; Magnoliopsida; Brassicales; Brassicaceae. The record is from RNAcentral.